GUUUGGGUGCCCGAGUGGUUAAGGGGCCGGCCUGCUAAGCCGUUGGGCUUUGCCCGCGCGAGUUCGAAUCUCGUCCCAAACG
Molecule: transfer RNA, 82 nt
Organism: Strongyloides ratti
Lineage: Eukaryota; Metazoa; Nematoda; Chromadorea; Rhabditida; Strongyloididae
Rfam family: tRNA
About the family: Transfer RNA (tRNA) molecules are approximately 80 nucleotides in length.
Source: Rfam